RNAcentral lists this ribosomal RNA (385 nucleotides) under uncultured bacterium. RNAcentral describes it as "bacterial SSU rRNA". It matches the Rfam family "Bacterial small subunit ribosomal RNA", at positions 29 to 416 of the family's 1533-position model. The record is from RNAcentral.
AUUGAACGCUGGCGGCAUGCCUUACACAUGCAAGUCGAGCGGCAGCGCGGGGGCAACCCUGGCGGCGAGCGGCGAACGGGUGAGUAAUACAUCGGAACGUGUCCAGUAGCGGGGGAUAACCUGUCGAAAGAUAGGCUAAUACCGCGUACGACCUACGGGUGAAAGCGGGGACCGCAAGGCCUCGCACUAUUGGAGCGGCCGAUGUCGGAUUAGCUAGUUGGCGGGGUAACGGCCCACCAAGGCGACGAUCCGUAGCUGGUCUGAGAGGACGACCAGCCACACUGGAACUGAGACACGGUCCAGACUCCUACGGGAGGCAGCAGUGGGGAAUUUUGGACAAUGGGCGCAAGCCUGAUCCAGCCAUGCCGCGUGAGUGAAGAAGGCC